This 709-nucleotide ribosomal RNA is filed under the name uncultured bacterium. RNAcentral's name for it is "bacterial SSU rRNA". It matches the Rfam family "Bacterial small subunit ribosomal RNA", at positions 8 to 717 of the family's 1533-position model. The record is from RNAcentral.
AGAGUUUGAUCCUGGCUCAGGAUGAACGCUAGCGGGAGGCCUAACACAUGCAAGCCGAGCGGUAGAAUUUCUUCGGAAAUUUGAGAGCGGCGAACGGGUGCGGAACACGUGUGCAACCUGCCUUUAUCUGGAGGAUAGCCUUUCGAAAGGAAGAUUAAUACUCCAUAAUAUACAAGAUGGCAUCAUUUAGUAUUGAAAGCUCCGGCGGAUAAAGAUGGGCACGCGCAAGAUUAGAUAGUUGGUGAGGUAACGGCUCACCAAGUCUGCGAUCUUUAGGGGGCCUGAGAUGGUGAUCCCCCACACUGGUACUGAGACACGGACCAGACUCCUACGGGAGGCAGCAGUGAGGAAUAUUGGACAAUGGGUGCAAGCCUGAUCCAGCCAUCCCGCGUGAAGGAUUAAGGACCUAUGGUUUGUAAACUUCUUUUGUACAGGGAUAAACCUAUCUACGUGUAGAUAGCUGAAGGUACUGUACGAAUAAGCACCGGCUAACUCCGUGCCAGCAGCCGCGGUAAUACGGAGGGUGCAAGCGUUAUCCGGAUUUAUUGGGUUUAAAGGGUCCGUAGGCGGAUCUAUAAGUCAGUGGUGAAAGCCGACAGCUUAACUGUCGAACUGCCGUUGAUACUGUAGGUCUUGAGUAAAUUUGAAGUGGCUGGAAUAAGUAGUGUAGCGGUGAAAUGCAUAGAUAUUACUUAGAACACCAAUUGCG